CGGGAAAAGUAGCUUGCUACUUUUGCCGGCGAGCGGCGGACGGYGUGAGUAAUGCCUGGGAAAUUGCCCAGUCGAGGGGGAUAACAGUUGGAAACGACUGCUAAUACCGCAUACGCCCUACGGGGGAAAGCAGGGGACCUUCGGGCCUUGCGCGAUUGGAUAUGCCCAGGUGGGAUUAGCUUGUUGGUGAGGUAAUGGCUCACCAAGGCGACCAUCCCUAACUGGUCUGAAAGGAUGAUCAGCCACACUGGAACUGARACACSGUCCAAACUCCUACGGGAGGCAGCAGUGGGGAAUAUUGCACAAUGGGGGAAACCCUGAUGCAGCCAUGCCGCGUGGGUGAAGAAGGCCUUCGGGUUGUAAAGCACUUUCCGCGAGGAGGAAAGGUCAGUAGCUAAUAUCUGCUGGCUGUGACGUUACUCGCAGAAGAAGCACCGGCUAACUCCGUGCCAGCAGCCGCGGUAAUACGGAGGGUGCAAGCGUUAAUCGGAAUUACUGGGCGUAAAGCGCACGCAGCGUUGGAUAAGUUAGAUGUGAAGCCCCGGCUCAACCUGGAUGCAUUUAAACUGUCAGCUAGAGUCUUGUAAGGGGUAGAUCAGUGUACGUGUAUGCUAAGAUCUGG
This 622-nucleotide ribosomal RNA is filed under the name Aeromonas sp. MDS5A. Its description in RNAcentral is "bacterial SSU rRNA". It matches the Rfam family "Bacterial small subunit ribosomal RNA", at positions 67 to 691 of the family's 1533-position model. The record is from RNAcentral. Lineage: Bacteria; Pseudomonadati; Pseudomonadota; Gammaproteobacteria; Aeromonadales; Aeromonadaceae.